This 539-nucleotide small RNA is filed under the name Pongo abelii (Sumatran orangutan). RNAcentral's name for it is "processed transcript". Lineage: Eukaryota; Metazoa; Chordata; Mammalia; Primates; Hominidae. The record is from RNAcentral.
UAUCGAUGCCAUUGAAUUUAACUCUAUAGCCAAAACAAUGUGUCAUAAAAGAGUAAUGUUAUCCUGUUGUUAGAUACUACUGGCCGGGCCCUUCGUUCUCUCAUCCUCCCUUCAGAGAAGCUCACAUCUAAGAAACCUUUCUGGUGGAACAAAGAAGAAGCUGAAACUUAUAAAAUGUGUAAAGAAUUUUCACACAAAAACUGGCUGGUAUUCUACAAAGAAAAAGGGAACAGCCUGACUGUACUGGAUGUUCUAGAAGGGCGAACUCACACCAUCUCACUUCCCAUCAACCUCAAGACAGUUUUCCUUGUAGCAGAGGACAAAUGGCUUCUGGUGGAGAGCAAAACAAAUCAGAAAUAUCUUUUAACUAAGCCUGCACACAUCGAAUCUGAGGGUAGUGGAGUUUGCCAGUUGUAUGUGCUGAAAGAGGAGCCGCCCAGCACGGGGUUUGGAGCUACACAAGAAACAGAGUUCAGCAUACCUCAUAAAAUUUCCAGUGAUCAACUAUCAUCUGAACAUCUAAGUUCAGCUGUGGAACA